RNAcentral lists this ribosomal RNA (482 nucleotides) under uncultured bacterium. Its description in RNAcentral is "bacterial SSU rRNA". It matches the Rfam family "Bacterial small subunit ribosomal RNA", at positions 29 to 506 of the family's 1533-position model. The record is from RNAcentral.
UUGAACGCUGGCGGCAUGCUUUACACAUGCAAGUCGAACGGCAGCGGGGGCUUCGGCCUGCCGGCGAGUGGCGAACGGGUGAGUAAUGCAUCGGAACGUACCCAGUCGUGGGGGAUAACUACGCGAAAGCGUGGCUAAUACCGCAUACGCCCUGAGGGGGAAAGCGGGGGACCUUCGGGCCUCGCGCGAUUGGAGCGGCUGAUGUCGGAUUAGCUGGUUGGUGGGGUAAAGGCCUACCAAGGCGACGAUCCGUAGCUGGUCUGAGAGGAUGAUCAGCCACACUGGGACUGAGACACGGCCCAGACUCCUACGGGAGGCAGCAGUGGGGAAUUUUGGACAAUGGGCGCAAGCCUGAUCCAGCCAUGCCGCGUGAGUGAAGAAGGCCUUCGGGUUGUAAAGCUCUUUCGGCGGGGAAGAAAUCGCACGGGUUAAUACCUCGUGUGGAUGACGGUACCCGAAUAAGAAGCACCGGCUAACUACGU